UGGGGAAUUUUGGACAAUGGGCGAAAGCCUGAUCCAGCAAUGCCGCGUGUGUGAAGAAGGCCUUCGGGUUGUAAAGCACUUUUGUCCGGAAAGAAAUCCUUGGCUCUAAUACAGUCGGGGGAUGACGGUACCGGAAGAAUAAGCACCGGCUAACUACGUGCCAGCAGCCGCGGUAAUACGUAGGGUGCAAGCGUUAAUCGAAAUUACUGGGCGUAAAGCGUGCGCAGGCGGUUUGCUAAGACCGAUGUGAAAUCCCCGGGCUCAACCUGGGAACUGCAUUGGUGACUGGCAGGCUAGAGUAUGGCAGAGGGGGGUAGAAUUCCACGUGUAGCAGUGAAAUGCGUAGAGAUGUGGAGGAAUACCGAUUGCGAAGGCAGCCCCCUGGGCCAAUACUGACGCUCAUGCACGAAAGCGUGGGGAGCAAACAGGAUUAGAUACCCUGGUAGUCCACGCCCUAAACGAUGUCAACUAGUUGUUGGGGAUUCAUUUCCUUAGUAACGUAGCUAACGCGUGAGGUUGACCGCCUGGGGAGUACGGUCGCAAGAUUAAAACUUAAAGGAAUUGACGGGGUCAUAGCUG
This 579-nucleotide ribosomal RNA is filed under the name uncultured bacterium. RNAcentral describes it as "partial 16S ribosomal RNA". It matches the Rfam family "Bacterial small subunit ribosomal RNA", at positions 355 to 932 of the family's 1533-position model. The record is from RNAcentral.